This is a long non-coding RNA of Zophobas morio, 454 nucleotides long. RefSeq lists it as uncharacterized. The record is from RefSeq and is a predicted model, not a curated record. NCBI's taxonomy places the organism in Eukaryota, Metazoa, Arthropoda, Insecta, Coleoptera, Tenebrionidae. The transcript is spliced from 3 exons.
GCACUAUUAAAAACUUAAAAUUUUUUACAUCAAAAGACUACCGAUUUUUAUAAUAAUGGCGGAGCCUACCUCCUUAUCGGAAGCUGACUUUAGGAAACGUUAUGGGAACAUAGUAACAAAAAGUGUCGCAAGGAAAGCAUUAAACAAGGACAGACACUAUUUUGACUCUGGAGAUCAUGCCUUAUCUAAAGCUGGUAAGGCGGAAUGCCCUCUUGGUAAUAAAAUUCCUUCACCGGAAGUUAUUACUUCUCAAGUUCGUAGGAAGCCGAGUCAGUUGCAAGUAGAACACUUAAGCCAGGAAUCUUAAUAAAUUUAUGACAAAUAUACUAGAUAUUGGUUUUAGUAGAUUUUGAAAUUGUUUAUAGCAUGAAAGUACGUUUGAGAUAAAGUUAAAUAAGAUUUGAGUUUUCUUUUAUUCUUCUUUUACGAUUUUUAUAACUUUUAUUAGAGGAUU